Molecule: long non-coding RNA, 337 nt
Filed under: Elaeis guineensis (African oil palm)
Lineage: Eukaryota; Viridiplantae; Streptophyta; Magnoliopsida; Arecales; Arecaceae
Description: long non-coding RNA (EGUI_LNC001914)
Source: RNAcentral
CCCUCUCCCCGCCUUUCUAAUUCUUGAGUCAAUGCACUCGUUUGCUAUUAGGACUUUGUCCAGAAUUUGCCUUCCUUGAAGAAAGGCCCCUUGUUCCAUUGAUAUAAAUUUAGGUAGAAGCAAAGCCAGGCGAUUAGCAAUCAUUUACAUCAAGAUCUUAUCUUAUAUAAGAAAUAACAAAGACUAAUAGGAUGAAAAUGAUGAAAGGAGGUAGGAUGAAAAACAUACACACACACAUAUAUAUAUAUAAUAGAAUUUCACAAAUCACACCAUCAAACUUUCUAGAUAUAAUGCUCAAAACUAAUAAAAUAACUUAUUACAGACAUACUAAAUAUGU